GUGGGGAAUUUUGGACAAUGGAGGAAACUCUGAUCCAGCAAUACCGCGUGAGUGAAGAAGGCCUUCGGGUUGUAAAGCUCUUUUGUUGAAGAAAAAAUCUCGUGCAAACGAGGAUGAUGGUAUUCAAAGAAAAAGCACCGGCUAACUACGUGCCAGCAGCCGCGGUAAUACGUAGGGUGCGAGCGUUAAUCGGAAUAACUGGGCGUAAAGGGUGAGUAGGCGGUUUAGUAAGAUAGUUGUGAAAUUCCCGCGCUUAACGUGGGGACUGCGGCUAUGACUGCUAAACUAGAAUAGAACAGAGGAAAGUGGAAUUCCACGUGUAGCAGUGAAAUGCGUAGAGAUGUGGAGGAACACCAAUGGCGAAGGCAGCUUUCUGGGUUACUAUUGACGCUCAGUCACGAAAGCGUGGGGAGCAAACAGGAUUAGAAACCCUAGUAGUCCC
RNAcentral lists this ribosomal RNA (442 nucleotides) under uncultured bacterium. RNAcentral's name for it is "bacterial SSU rRNA". It matches the Rfam family "Bacterial small subunit ribosomal RNA", at positions 354 to 797 of the family's 1533-position model. The record is from RNAcentral.